ACUCCUACGGGAGGCAGCAGUGGGGAAUAUUGCACAAUGGGCGCAAGCCUGAUGCAGCCAUGCCGCGUGUAUGAAGAAGGCCUUCGGGUUGUAAAGUACUUUCAGCAGUGAGGAAGGUGGGUAUGUUAAUAGCAUACUCAUUUGACGUUAGCUGCAGAAGAAGCACCGGCUAACUCCGUGCCAGCAGCCGCGGUAAUACGGAGGGUGCGAGCGUUAAUCGGAAUUACUGGGCGUAAAGCGCAUGCAGGUGGUUUGUUAAGUCAGAUGUGAAAGCCCGGGGCUCAACCUCGGAAUUGCAUUUGAAACUGGCAAACUAGAGUACUGUAGAGGGGGGUAGAAUUUCAGGUGUAGCGGUGAAAUGCGUAGAGAUCUGAAGGAAUACCGGUGGCGAAGGCGGCCCCCUGGACAGAUACUGACACUCAGAUGCGAAAGCGUGGGGAGCAAACAGGAUUAGAUACCCCGGUAGGCUCUG
RNAcentral lists this ribosomal RNA (472 nucleotides) under uncultured bacterium. RNAcentral's name for it is "bacterial SSU rRNA". It matches the Rfam family "Bacterial small subunit ribosomal RNA", at positions 335 to 799 of the family's 1533-position model. The record is from RNAcentral.